Siniperca chuatsi (mandarin fish) is the source of this 4710-nucleotide long non-coding RNA. RefSeq lists it as uncharacterized. Lineage: Eukaryota; Metazoa; Chordata; Actinopteri; Centrarchiformes; Sinipercidae. The transcript is spliced from 2 exons. The record is from RefSeq and is a predicted model, not a curated record.
CUGGCGAAGAGUGACUUACCCGAGCAGUGUAUCCACAUCUGUUUGAUGAGACGGGAGAUUCAAGCGUCACACUUUGUUGCAUUCAAAACGGACGGAAGGUUUUAACGAAGACAAACAGUAACUCUCCGCCGACCGCGGAGCGCGGCCAAUGGGCUCGAGCUGUGCGCGCUGCUUCGACCAAUCAAAUCGUCAGCGCGGAGUUGGUGGAAGGUGAGCGGUGAAGUAGGAAGGGCUGAUGGCGACAUCAUGUGUUAAGGGUUUGUAUCCCUCCGCUUGUCAUGUUUUGAGAGCAACGACUUUAUCUGCUUUUUUAAUAUUAACCGACUGCAAAUCAGAGCUUACAGCUGGCACGGUCGUUUCAUUAUUGUAAGCUACGUUAUAGCCUGCUCCAAGCAAUAAAAACAUUUUGUACAGUUUAAAAAAAAACAAUUAUUUAAUCAAUUAUGGAAAUUUAAAUACAAAAAUUAUAAACAACUCAAUGUCAUCAUGUAGACCCCUAGAGAAGAUAUUUAAGUUGUACAUUUACCCAGCAGAGCAGAUAAUAGCGGCCAAAUUCUGUUAUUUUUCAAAACAUAACAUCAUUCUUCGCUCAGUUUAGGUCGAUAGAUGUUUCAUGUUGUAAAUGCGUGAUUCAAAAUGUGACGCUUUACUUUCCCUCGGUGCUACAUGAGCGAUGCUGUGCGAGCCCCGCCGCCCUACUUUAUCUGUUCACGGCGGAGGAACACUAUGUUUACAGUGAGCGGAAUGGUGACGUACAGUGUCGGAUACAGUCAGUGUGGCGCAUGAGGCAGAGCAGCUACACAUGCACAGACAUUUACUUUAGAGGACGUACAGAUUCUAUUUUAUACCUUUUCACUAUUUCCAGUUUCUUCUGUAUGUGCGUUAGGCUACGUCAUGUUACGUCAGUGUGAAGGAAACAGCUUGGCUGGGAGACUGAAAGUAAUCCACGGCUCGUGCAUGAGAUGAUUUUAUUUUGGCUCAAAAUUGAAAGUAGUGGAGGAGAAGCCAGAGAGUCCAACACAUGCAGAGUUGGUUCAGUAUUUAUUUGAACACCUCUCAUACAAGAAAUGCAUCCAAAGGGCUGUACCUUAAACAAAUAAAUAAAACAAUUACAUGUGAAGACAAAAUGGAGAUAAAGAUUAGUAAGAUGUGUAAAAGGCAUAAUAAGAAGUAAGUAGGCAACUAUAUUUUCAGAUAUAUACAAAAAAAAAGGUAUGUACAAUUUACUGACUCAGCAAAUACCUAAUAAUUAUCGCUAUUUAUCUUUAAAGUAGGGCUGCUUAAAUGCUUCAUCUUGCUCUGAUGAUCAAUAAAGUAAUUGCUGAAAUGAAAAACUAAGAUAAAAUAUUGAGAUAUUGCUCUCGUUUACAGUACAGUGUUGUUGAUUAUGCAACUUCCCAAUUCACACACGUUGCGUUAAACAGUUUCGACUGCAUGGCCAAUGAAUACACAGUCCAACCUGCAGUGGUGGAAGCAGUAGGCUACUUAGCAAUGCAACAAUUUAAAAGUACUCCAUGACAAGUCUUGGCCCUGCAUUCAGACUCCGUACAGAAGUACUUUCAUUAAAAUGUACUUUAGGUACCAAAAGUAGAAGUUGUCCCCUGUGAUUGAUAUAUUAUUAUAUAUGACAUUAUUAAUACUGAUGCAAUCAUGUGUAAGCAACAUUUUACUGUUGCAGCUGCUCGAGGUGGAGCUAGUUUUAGUCCUGUGGUUCCCAAACUGGGGUUCCCCCCCCCCCAUUUUUUUUACACUUCCCUAACGUUUGUGUUUUUUGUUGUGAAAUAUUGGACAGUUUGAAGAGUCAUUUUAAUGACACCGCAUGAGAAGUUCAGAAGAGAAAUGUCACUUUGGUGGAAAUGCUAACAACUCAUAGACAUCUGAAAACUGAAAUCUGACAAGAACACUGCUUUUUUUUGGAAGGGGCCACAAUCCAAAAAUGCUGGGAUUUAAUCUUUGACAAUGUGUUGUAUUUUAUAUGGUUAUCAUGCAGUAUGUUUUUGUAUGUACACAUCUUAAUAUGCAAAGUAACCAGUAACUCCAGCAGUCAGAUUAAUAAUAACUAAAUAAAUAUUUCCCUCUGAAAUGUAGUGGAGUAGAAGUACAAAGUAGCAGAAAAAGAAAUACUUUAAAGUACAGUACUGGAGUAAAAGUACUUAGUUACUUUCCACCACUGCUAACUUGUAAGCUUGUACUCGGCUGCACACAUUUGCAAUGCUGGAUCCAUGACAGUAUUCUUGUCUAACACAUACAUUAUGUGCAGAAUUUGACCUCAGGUCAAAGCCUAAAAGGGAACUGAAAGAUGACACUAGUUGCAUCAGGGAGAUGAUGUAUUAAAAAGUAACACAGCAAACUAGAACACAUGGUACUUGAGAUAGAGAACCACUUCCACCCCCAAAGUUGAAUCUAAUAAAGGAUUUAAAGUCAGGUCAAGAGUCCCUAUAAAAUAUAAAAAAAAAAGACUUUGGUAGGACAACAAAAAUCAGACCACAAUACUGGAAACGGACAAACAAGGUAUAUGAAGAGUUCAAAUAUUCAGCAGACGCAUGCCUGAGUGUGAUGUGUUCACGGAGGGAACGUGCCACGCGGUCUGGACUGCCCUGUCACUUUCAGAAGGAAUAUAACAAAUGGAAACAGCAGCACACAGCAGGGAACGCACAGCUGACUCAAGGAAUGACACUCAUGCAGUUUACAGCUGGAAUAUGCAACGUUUCUGACAUCACAAGGAAAACCCUUUGACUGCCUGAAAUCAGAUUUUUAAAAUGUUUUAUGAUGUUUUGGGUGUACUGAUAAUUGUGGGCGUAGCCUUCAAGGCGAGGCAGGGGGCUUUAGCUCAGUCUCAGGACACAAGUGACACCUUAUCAGUAUGAUUGAUAAUAUCUGAACCUGACUGCUGAGGGAGAAAAGGGCAGGGAAAACAUUAUAUUUCCUGCUGUAACGGGGAAAAGCUAAAUGUUGUGACACUGGAAGUCUCACUGAUUUGUUAAUGAAGUAGAUGAAGAACGAGGGAGAACCGAGAGUAAUGAAGUAAGUAGUAGUAGUAGUAGUAGUAGGCUAGUAGUAGUGUUGACAUCAGCUCAGACACAGACACAGAGACAGGGAGUGACACAGAGAGAUUACACAGUGUUUUCUGCUUUACAUAAGAAGCUUAUGUGAUGUGCGAGAGAAUUGCAGCAGUCAGAUGGACGUCCCGCUGUCUUCCUCUCAUGCCGUCCUGUCCGUACAGCUGGGUAGUGCAGUGGUCAGCCACUUGGCCCCCGGGGUCAGGGAAAUUCCACGGGAAAAAUGACAACAAACAUCCAGGUCAGAGUUGGGAGCAAAAGAAAAACAGGAAACAGAGGCCCCGUCCAUGGCAGGACUAGCACCGUACUCAGAGCUACUGAUCCGGCUGCUGGUCAAGUUAUUGCUUCAUAGAGCACAGAUCCCACUGCAAUGACACAAAUAGUUUCUUUUUUGUUUGAAACAAUGUCAGCCCAGGACUUUUCAUUCAGCCCAAUCAAUAACUACAGUUUGGCGCCCCCUGUUGAAGCAUUGCUGAAACAUUUAGCUUUAUGAACAGCAGUUCAUUGAGUACAAGACAUUGUUUUCAUGUCAUAAUCAAUUUUCCAAGAUUAAGAGCCGCUUCGUUGUGCUGCUGAGAAAAUGUUCUAAUGGUGUGUUCUUUCAUAUAUGCCACUGAUUUCCAUAUGAGGUCAAACAAAGAGCCUGAGGGCUGAAUAUGUUUGCAAUAAAAAACCGUUUGGAGCAGUUUUAGAGUGCUGCUUCAGUGUUACCUAUCAUGUUAUCUUCAUUUAGUCUACUUUUGGUCUGGGACUGUCUUUAUUUCCAGUGAGGGGAAAUCUUACUGCCCCAGCAUGCACUAAUAUUUUAGACAACAGUGUUCUUCCAACUUUGUGUCAACAGUUUGUGUUUGUCCCUUUCCUGUUCCAACAUGAGCCCUGAUCUCAGCCCCAUCCAACACCUUUGGGAUGAACUGGGACGCCAACUGCGAGCCAGACCUUUUCACCAACAUCAGUGUUGGACCUCACUGACGAUCUUGUGGCUGAAUGGGAGCAAAUCCCUGCAGAGAGGUUACAAAAUCUGCUGGAAAGAGUGAACCCAGAAGAGUGGAGGCUGUUAGAGCAACACAUUAAUGCCCAUGGUGUCGGAAUCACAUGUUCAGCUGUCAAAUAUGACGUAAUGUUCGGGAUGGUGUCCACAUGCUUUUGGCCAAGUACUGUAUCAAAUAUUCUUAAUUGUGAUAGAAAAAUUGAGCAUCUUGAAAUUCUGAUAAUACGUUUUCUCUUACUAAACACAAUAUUUCAGUGUCUCUAAAAUAUCCACAUGGUAUUUUCUACAUGGUACUUUUAUUACUUGAGCUCAUGUUUGUGCCUUCUGCAGCUCUGGGAUGAACAACAGGCUCAGCUGGUCAUAUGUAGUUCACAGAUAUAAACAGGAACUCAGUAACCCCACUAUUGUCCUUCAGCCUGAAUGUUCAGCUCACAGUGCUCUGGAAGAUUGCUAAUGGCUUCGUGAGGGCGUGAGGUCACGACGGCUGGAGACUGCAAAAAUGACCCGUUGUUAUGCAAUCAAGUGGAGAUGCAUUUUGAAUGAAAUGCUGAUGUGAAGAAUACUGGGAGCCGCUCCAUGUUUGUGCAGUAACUCCGAAUGUUCAACCUUAGAGUUUACAGGCUGCAUGACAUCUUGACAGAACGAUAAAUAAUCUUCUAAGCA